Molecule: ribosomal RNA, 412 nt
Filed under: Bacillus paramycoides
Lineage: Bacteria; Bacillati; Bacillota; Bacilli; Caryophanales; Bacillaceae
Description: bacterial SSU rRNA
Source: RNAcentral
UCCUACGGGAGGCAGCAGUAGGGAAUCUUCCGCAAUGGACGAAAGUCUGACGGAGCAACGCCGCGUGAGUGAUGAAGGCUUUCGGGUCGUAAAACUCUGUUGUUAGGGAAGAACAAGUGCUAGUUGAAUAAGCUGGCACCUUGACGGUACCUAACCAGAAAGCCACGGCUAACUACGUGCCAGCAGCCGCGGUAAUACGUAGGUGGCAAGCGUUAUCCGGAAUUAUUGGGCGUAAAGCGCGCGCAGGUGGUUUCUUAAGUCUGAUGUGAAAGCCCACGGCUCAACCGUGGAGGGUCAUUGGAAACUGGGAGACUUGAGUGCAGAAGAGGAAAGUGGAAUUCCAUGUGUAGCGGUGAAAURMGUAGAGAUAUGGAGGAACACCAGUGGCGAAGGCGACUUUCUGGUCUGUAAA